Molecule: ribosomal RNA, 450 nt
Filed under: uncultured bacterium
Lineage: Bacteria
Description: partial 16S ribosomal RNA
Rfam family: Bacterial small subunit ribosomal RNA
Source: RNAcentral
GUGGGGAAUUUUGGACAAUGGGGGCAACCCUGAUCCAGCCAUGCCGCGUGCGGGAAGAAGGCCUUCGGGUUGUAAACCGCUUUUGUCGGGGAAGAAAUCCUUUGGGUUAAUACCUCGGAGGGAUGACGGUACCUGAAGAAUAAGCACCGGCUAACUACGUGCCAGCAGCCGCGGUAAUACGUAGGGUGCGAGCGUUAAUCGGAAUUACUGGGCGUAAAGCGUGCGCAGGCGGGUUGGUAAGAUCGAUGUGAACUCCCCGGGCUCAACCUGGGAACUGCAUUGGUGACUGCAAGGCUGGAGUGCGGCAGAGGGGGAUGGAAUUCCGCGUGUAGCAGUGAAAUGCGUAGAUAUGCGGAGGAACACCGAUGGCGAAGGCAAUCCCCUGGGCCUGCACUGACGCUCAUGCACGAAAGCGUGGGGAGCAAACAGGAUUAGAAACCCCGGUAGUCC